This 593-nucleotide ribosomal RNA is filed under the name Saccharomyces cerevisiae (brewer's yeast). RNAcentral describes it as "eukaryotic LSU rRNA". It matches the Rfam family "Eukaryotic large subunit ribosomal RNA", at positions 56 to 667 of the family's 3401-position model. The record is from RNAcentral. Lineage: Eukaryota; Fungi; Ascomycota; Saccharomycetes; Saccharomycetales; Saccharomycetaceae.
UUUUUAUUUAACUCUGACCUGGUACAUUGGCGAGUGAAGCGGCAAAAGCUCAAAUUUGAAAUCUGGUACCUUCGGUGCCCGAGUUGUAAUUUGGAGAGGGCAACUUUGGGGCCGUUCCUUGUCUAUGUUCCUUGGAACAGGACGUCAUAGAGGGUGAGAAUCCCGUGUGGCGAGGAGUGCGGUUCUUUGUAAAGUGCCUUCGAAGAGUCGAGUUGUUUGGGAAUGCAGCUCUAAGUGGGUGGUAAAUUCCAUCUAAAGCUAAAUAUUGGCGAGAGACCGAUAGCGAACAAGUACAGUGAUGGAAAGAUGAAAAGAACUUUGAAAAGAGAGUGAAAAAGUACGUGAAAUUGUUGAAAGGGAAGGGCAUUUGAUCAGACAUGGUGUUUUGUGCCCUCUGCUCCUUGUGGGUAGGGGAAUCUCGCAUUUCACUGGGCCAGCAUCAGUUUUGGUGGCAGGAUAAAUCCAUAGGAAUGUAGCUUGCCUCGGUAAGUAUUAUAGCCUGUGGGAAUACUGCCAGCUGGGACUGAGGACUGCGACGUAAGUCAAGGAUGCUGGCAUAAUGGUUAUAUGCCGCCCGUCUUGAAACACGGACC